Molecule: long non-coding RNA, 310 nt
Filed under: Nicotiana benthamiana
Lineage: Eukaryota; Viridiplantae; Streptophyta; Magnoliopsida; Solanales; Solanaceae
Description: long non-coding RNA (NBEN_LNC028344)
Source: RNAcentral
AGGCCUAGGAAGCAUUGGGGAGAGGUGAUUAGGCAGGACAUGACUAGAAUGCAGGUUACCGAGGACUUGACCCUUGAUAGGGGAGUCUGGAGGUCUAGGAUAAGGGUUGCAGGCUAGGGGCUCUUAGAGUCCUUCGUUCGCCCCACCCAGGAUUGGGUGUGGGAUAGUAGGGUUACCCGUAGAUGACUAGUGUUUUAGCGUAGGUCCCCUCUUGGUUGGUAAUAUGAGAGUUGUCGCUUGUUAUUGUCGCAUGCGACGGUAUUUAUGUUUCUUAUGUUUACAUAAUCAUUUACGUUAUUUCUGCAGGNNN